GCUUGUCUAGAAACCCCAAGAGCACCACUCCAUAACAUGGACUGGACCUGGAGAAUCGUCUUCUUGGUGGCAGCUGUGAAAAGUGCCCAGGGCCAGGUGCAGCUGGUGCAGUCUGGGGCUGAGCUGAAGAAGCCCGGGGCCUCAGUGAAGGUCUCUUGCAAGGCUUCUGGGUACACCUUCACCAGCAACUACAUGAGCUGGGUGCGACAGAGCCCUGGACAAGGCCUAGAGUGGAUUGGGCAGAUCUACCCUGGCAAUGGCAAUACUAAUUAUGCUCAGAAGUUCCAGGGCAAGGUCACCCUCACUGCUGACAAGUCCUCCAGCACAGCCUACAUGGAGCUGAGCAGCUUGAAGUCUGAGGACACAGCCGUGUAUUACUGUGCAAGAGACACAGUGUGGUAAC
This is a non-coding RNA of Octodon degus (degu), 403 nucleotides long. The record is from the annotation of a RefSeq genome assembly. NCBI's taxonomy places the organism in Eukaryota, Metazoa, Chordata, Mammalia, Rodentia, Octodontidae.